RNAcentral lists this ribosomal RNA (1127 nucleotides) under uncultured organism. Its description in RNAcentral is "bacterial SSU rRNA". It matches the Rfam family "Bacterial small subunit ribosomal RNA", at positions 48 to 1210 of the family's 1533-position model. The record is from RNAcentral.
CUAAUACAUGCAAGUCGAGCGAUGAGGCUCCUUCGGGAGUACAUCAGCGGCGAACGGGUGAGUAACACGUGGGUGACUUGCCCCGAAGAUGGGGAUAACCUCUGGAAACGGGGGCUAAUACCCAAUGUGCUCGGUGAUUCGGUUCAUCGAGUAAAGCUCCGGCGCUUCGGGAGAGGCCUGCGGCCCAUCAGCUAGUUGGUAGGGUAACGGCCUACCAAGGCAGAGACGGGUAGGGGGCGUGAGAGCGCGGACCCCCACACUGGCACUGAGAUACGGGCCAGACUCCUACGGGAGGCAGCAGUAAGGGAUAUUGCGCAAUGGACGAAAGUCAGACGCAGCGACGCCGCGUGGGCGAUGAAGGCCUUCGGGCUGUAAAGCCCUUUUAUGGGGGAAGAGAAAAAGGACGGUACCCCAGGAAUAAGUCCCGGCUAACUACGUGCCAGCAGCCGCGGUAAAACGUAGGGGACAAGCGUUAUCCGGAUUCACUGGGCGUAAAGAGCGUUGAGGCGGUUCCGUAAGUCGGGCGUGAAAGCUCCGGGCUUAACUCGGAGAUGUCGUUCAAUACUGCGGGGCUUGAGGACAGCAGAGGAAGGUGGAAUUCCCGGUGUAGUGGUGAAAUGCGUAGAUAUCGGGAGGAACACCCGUGGCGAAGGCGGCCUUCUGGGCUGUUCCUGACGCUGAAGGCGAAAGCUAGGGGAGCGAACGGGAUUAGAUACCCCGGUAGUCCUAGCUGUAAACGAUGGAUGCUGGGUGUGGGGGGUGUAAAUUCCCUCUGUGCCGAAGCAAACGCGUUAAGCAUCCCGCCUGGGGACUACGGCCGCAAGGCUAAAACUCAAACGAAUUGACGGGGGCCCGCACAAGCAGCGGAGCGUGUGGUUUACUUCGAUGCUACACGAAGAACCUUACCUGGGUUUGACAUGCACGUGGUACGGAAACCGAAGGGGACCGAACCUUCGGGAGCGUGCCCGCGUGCUGCAUGGCUGUCGUCAGCUCGUGCCGUGAGGUGUCGGGUUAAGUCCCGUAACGAGCGCAACCAUUGCCCUUAGUUACAAGUGUCUAAGGGGACUGCCCGGGACAACUGGGAGGAAGGUGGGGAUGACGUCAAGUCAGCAUGGCCUUUAUAUCCA